GGUUAAGCGACUAAGCGUACACGGUGGAUGCCCUGGCAGUCAGAGGCGAUGAAGGACGUGCUAAUCUGCGAUAAGCGUCGGUGAGGUGAUAUGAACCGUUAUAACCGGCGAUUUCCGAAUGGGGAAACCCAGUGUGUUUCGACACACUAUCAUUAACUGAAUCCAUAGGUUAAUGAGGCGAACCGGGGGAACUGAAACAUCUAAGUACCCCGAGGAAAAGAAAUCAACCGAGAUUCCCCCAGUAGCGGCGAGCGAACGGGGAGGAGCCCAGAGCCUGAAUCAGUGUGUGUGUUAGUGGAAGCGUCUGGAAAGGCGUGCGAUACAGGGUGACAGCCCCGUACACAAAAAUGCACAUAUUGUGAGCUCGAUGAGUAGGGCGGGACACGUGGUAUCCUGUCUGAAUAUGGGGGGACCAUCCUCCAAGGCUAAAUACUCCUGACUGACCGAUAGUGAACCAGUACCGUGAGGGAAAGGCGAAAAGAACCCCGGCGAGGGGAGUGAAAAAGAACCUGAAACCGUGUACGUACAAGCAGUGGGAGCCUCUUAAUGGGGUGACUGCGUACCUUUUGUAUAAUGGGUCAGCGACUUAUAUUCUGUAGCAAGGUUAACCGAAUAGGGGAGCCGAAGGGAAACCGAGUCUUAACUGGGCGUUAAGUUGCAGGGUAUAGACCCGAAACCCGGUGAUCUAGCCAUGGGCAGGUUGAAGGUUGGGUAACACUAACUGGAGGACCGAACCGACUAAUGUUGAAAAAUUAGCGGAUGACUUGUGGCUGGGGGUGAAAGGCCAAUCAAACCGGGAGAUAGCUGGUUCUCCCCGAAAGCUAUUUAGGUAGCGCCUCGUGAAUUCAUCUCCGGGGGUAGAGCACUGUUUCGGCAAGGGGGUCAUCCCGACUUACCAACCCGAUGCAAACUGCGAAUACCGGAGAAUGUUAUCACGGGAGACACACGGCGGGUGCUAACGUCCGUCGUGAAGAGGGAAACAACCCAGACCGCCAGCUAAGGUCCCAAAGUCAUGGUUAAGUGGGAAACGAUGUGGGAAGGCCCAGACAGCCAGGAUGUUGGCUUAGAAGCAGCCAUCAUUUAAAGAAAGCGUAAUAGCUCACUGGUCGAGUCGGCCUGCGCGGAAGAUGUAACGGGGCUAAACCAUGCACCGAAGCUGCGGCAGCGACACUAUGUGUUGUUGGGUAGGGGAG
RNAcentral lists this ribosomal RNA (1193 nucleotides) under Escherichia coli. RNAcentral describes it as "partial 23S ribosomal RNA". It matches the Rfam family "Bacterial large subunit ribosomal RNA", at positions 1 to 1236 of the family's 2925-position model. The record is from RNAcentral. Lineage: Bacteria; Pseudomonadati; Pseudomonadota; Gammaproteobacteria; Enterobacterales; Enterobacteriaceae.